This 471-nucleotide ribosomal RNA is filed under the name uncultured bacterium. Its description in RNAcentral is "bacterial SSU rRNA". It matches the Rfam family "Bacterial small subunit ribosomal RNA", at positions 355 to 825 of the family's 1533-position model. The record is from RNAcentral.
UGGGGAAUUUUGGACAAUGGGCGAAAGCCUGAUCCAGCAAUGCCGCGUGAGUGAAGAAGGCCUUCGGGUUGUAAACCACUUUUGUCAGGGAAGAAACGGCCUGAUCUAAUACAUUGGGUUAAUGACGGUACCUGAAGAAUAAGCACCGGCUAACUUCGUGCCAGCAGCCGCGGUAAUACGAAGGGGGCUAGCGUUGCUCGGAAUUACUGGGCGUAAAGCGUGCGCAGGCGGUUUUGUAAGUCUGUCGUGAAAGCCCCGGGCUCAACCUGGGAAUUGCGAUGGAGACUGCAAGGCUUGAAUCUGGCAGAGGGGGGUAGAAUUCCACGUGUAGCAGUGAAAUGCGUAGAGAUGUGGAGGAACACCGAUGGCGAAGGCAGCCCCUGGGUCAAGAUUGACGCUCAUGCACGAAAGCGUGGGGAGCAAACAGGAUUAGAUACCCUAGUAGUCCCUGAGCGGGCUGGCAAGGCGCAU